Molecule: unclassified non-coding RNA, 645 nt
Filed under: Hevea brasiliensis (rubber tree)
Lineage: Eukaryota; Viridiplantae; Streptophyta; Magnoliopsida; Malpighiales; Euphorbiaceae
Source: RNAcentral
GUAUAUGUUAAUGUAAUUGAUGAACGUAGUCAUUUGCUACAUCAACUCUACUGCACAUGAUGCCAAGAACUCUAUUACAUUGUUACAAAAGAACCAAUAGUCGUUAUCGAUAAGAAACAUCACAUAGUAACACUGAAAGAAUUAACAAAGAAUAGAGGGGAGGACUAUCACUGCAUCUAUUCGGACUUGUUUGCUUUUGUAGACAACUUUCUCUUCAUUCUGCUGAAAGGUCCAACUGUUCGAUCCAUUAUGUACAUGUAGAUUACCUGGCUCCAAGAUUUGUAAGCAUCUAAGUUUUCAUAAUAUUCUGGUGCAAUCUCCUUCACCUUGUAGAGCUUGCUUCCGGGAAUUCUGGGAAAAUCAUGGUGCUCAUUGUGGUAUCCUACACUCCAUGUCAUGAGGUUAAGGGGUCCGUAAUAGGAGUAUGUCUCUUGCUCAGGCUUGAAGACAUAAUGCUCAGAGAUGAAGUGACCAGCCAUUGGAUGCAUCCCGCCCCCAACAAACGUGGAUAGGAUAAGAUAAGCUAGCGACUUCCAGCCCCAGAAGUAAACCAUAGCUCCAUCAAGGGAUAGCUGGAUAGUAAAGUUAAUGAACUCCCACAGACCAGGUGGUUUAGGUUUUAGAAAAAGAGGCCUGAAUGCAUAA